AUGCAAGGCUUGAAUCUUUGUAGAUCUACAUUUUUGUUACGGUUUUGAAAAUAUUUUUUAGGUUUUCAAAUUCUUUGAAAGAAACUGUUUGAAACCUUGAGGAUCUACAUGGAUUCGUCCUUAUUGAUGCUUUUUAAGAAAGAACGGUGGAGUUAUAUGUUUACCUGUGAUUUAAUCGGAGAUUUCGAACAAGAUUUUUUAGAAAUCUUCGAUUUGAUUCUGUUUGUUGAUUUUUGACUUGAAACCGAAAAUAAAUCGGUGUUUCUGGCUGGUUUGAUUCCUUC
Molecule: long non-coding RNA, 284 nt
Filed under: Medicago truncatula (barrel medic)
Lineage: Eukaryota; Viridiplantae; Streptophyta; Magnoliopsida; Fabales; Fabaceae
Description: long non-coding RNA (MTRU_LNC008384)
Source: RNAcentral